Spodoptera frugiperda (fall armyworm) is the source of this 5622-nucleotide RNA transcript. It is a transcript of the gene named Golgi pH regulator, with no coding region annotated. NCBI's taxonomy places the organism in Eukaryota, Metazoa, Arthropoda, Insecta, Lepidoptera, Noctuidae. The transcript has 2 exons. The record is from RefSeq and is a predicted model, not a curated record.
CAUAUAACUUUAUUCCUUCAUUUUGCAUUAGUGUGUUACUGUUUAGAUUACUCAAUCACUUAGAAUAUUUUCUUAAGUACUAGUUUCUCGUUUGUUGUUGCUACUAUUAAUUAAUAAACAAAAUGUCUUUAAGCGAAGAUAAAGACAGUAAUGCAAAACAAUUGAAGGAACUACUUGCUAAACGUAGCUCGGUCAAAGGACGCUUAACGAAAUUUAAAAGGUAUUUAGAUGUAGUAUGCUCUUUAAAAUUAUCAAAAACUCAAAUUAAAGAAUUAGAAAUUAAUAUUGAUAAAAUCCGAGCUGUGUCUAGCAAAUUCGAUGAACUACAGGCUCAGAUUGAGGUUAUUAAUUGUGAUAAUAUGGACUCUGAGAUCGAUGAACGUGAUGGAAUUGAACAGAUCUUCACUUCACAUUUGGCAAUUGCUGAAGAGCAACUUGACAAGUAUAAGAAUACUUCUCAUUAUUCUGAUUCGCACAAUUCAUCACAAUGUCAUCACGAUCAGUCGACUCAGUGUCAUCAUGUUGAUUUUAAAUUACCACAAAUACAAAUUGCAAAGUUCGAUGGCGCUUAUUUUCGCUGGCUUGAGUUCCGAGACACCUAUUUGUCGCUUAUUCAUAACAAUGAGCGCAUCAACCCUAUUCAUAAGUUCCAUUAUUUGGUAUCGUAUCUCGAGAAUGAAGCCGCGCGAAUUAUCUCUAAUUUAGAGAUUUGCGAAACUAAUUAUGAAACUGCAUGGCAGCUUUUGUGCGAUCGUUACGAUAACAAGCGCCAGCUUAUAAAUCAACACCUUAAUUCAUUGUUAUAUUUUGAAUCGACCCAGCAACAACACAAACGUGAAUCAGACAAAUCACUGAGGUUUCUAGUUGACCACGUAACAAAAAACUUGCGCGCAUUAUCAAGCUUAGCUAAACAAGAUGAGCUGCUUGAUAUGAUAAUUAUUAAAAUUCUUAUACCUAAAUUAGAUAAUCGUACUGCAAUGAAGUGGGAAGAACACCGUAAUAACUUGUCCGAUCUCCCCACUCUAAAGGACUUCAAUAAGUUCCUAACUGAUCGUGCUGAUGUGUUACAAACUAUGUCUCAAAACAAGUUUGACACACCCAAGGCUACACAAUCACGUCAAAAUAAUAACAAUAAUAAUUCUCGUAGCACUAAGUCCUUUUCGUCUACAGUUCAGAAUACCGGCUCCGUCACUAGGCAGUGCGUUGUCUGUAAGGGUAACCACUGGAUUUACGACUGCCCUACAUUCCUAGCGAAGAGUGUUCAAGAACGACGAGACGAAGCACUUAAGUUGCACUUAUGCUCCAAUUGUUUACGAACUGGGCAUCGUGCACAUGAUUGCAAGUUGGGUCCCUGUCGUGAGUGCAAGCGUAGACACAACUCACUCUUGCAUUUACCUAAUUCUAACAAUACUAGCACAAGUAAUGCUAGUACAGUCAACAGCAAUAGCGAUAACACAGAUCGCGGUUCAAGUGAAAUAUCAGUCAAUAAUUCGAUUAGUGAUAAUUUCGUAGAAAAUCAUAUUCUUUUGUCAACAGCCAUGGUAAACGUUAUCAAUCCUCAAACAAACAAACAAUUUAGAGUGCGCGCUUUAUUAGACUGUGGAAGUCAGUCCUCAUUUAUUAGCCAGUCACUCAUGAACAAGCUAUCAUUACAGGUAUGUACUAUAAAUACCAUAAAUGUUAUUGGUAUAGGCAACAACUUAGCAGAACAUGUAAACAAAAGUUGCAUUGCCCGAUUAAAGUCAUUUAGCAAUGACUACAGUGUUGUACAAUCAUUUUAUGUGUUGAACCAAUUAACAGGUUCUAUUCCUAAACAAUCUAUAGAUAUUAGUCAAUUUAACAUCCCACGAGACAUACAGUUAGCUGAUCCUAACUUUAAUCAGCCUUCGGCAAUAGACGUCUUGAUAGGUGCGGACCUAUUUUGGGACCUAUUAGGAUGUGAUCAGCUAACAUUAGGUCAUAACAUGCCCAAGCUACGCAGCUCAAAGCUAGGUUGGUUAGUCGCCGGCCCUAUUUUUCCAAGGUUAAGGAAUCGUUCGUCACCAAGAAAUAUUCCGUGUCAUGUUUCAAUCAGUGACAGUGACGAAUGCAAUAAUUCCGAUAUUAAUUAUCAAUUAACAAAGUUUUGGGAACUGGAGCAAGUUCCAGAUAAGCAAUAUUUUGGUAAAAUUGAGCAGGCUUGCGAAGACCACUUCUAUCGUAAUACUUACCGUUUAGAAUCUGGCAGAUUUUGUGUUAGGCUGCCUCUAAUUGAUAGUCCAGAUUGUUUAGGAGAUUCUUACGCAAUGGCUAAGAAACGACUAUUGUGUUUAGAAAAACGUUUCCGUAAGAAUCCAGAAUUAAAGUUACAAUAUUCAAAUUUCAUUCAAGAAUAUUUAGAGCUAGGCCAUUUAGAGGAAUGUCCGAUUGUAAAUCCCGUUCCAUCCUAUUAUCUUUGCCAUCAUGCAGUUUUCAAACAAAAUAGUGAAACGACAAAGACACGUGUUGUCUUUGAUGGAUCGGCACGAACUUCCUCAGGUUUCUCUCUAAACGACCUACAGAUGGUCGGUCCCAAUGUUCAAGACUCGAUCUUUUCUAUUUUGAUACGAGCUCGUCAGUACAAAUACAUUUUGACAGCCGAUAUUGAAAAGUUCUUUAGGAUGGUUGAACUAGAUGAAAGGGAUCGUAAUUUACAAUUAAUACUUUGGAGAAGUGAUGAGUCAAAUCCUAUCAAAACUUUACGUCUAAAAACCGUCACUUAUGGUCUCGCAAGUGCUACAUAUUUAAGCACCAAGUGUUUGUCGGUAUUGGCAGAGGAUUGCGAUGAUCAAUUUAUAGGUAAUAUUAUUAAACGCGACCACUAUGUCGAUGAUUUGGUCACUGGAUCCAACAAUGAGUCCGAGUUGUUAUACAUUCAGCGCAAGGUGUCGGACACUCUAAAGUCUGCAGGGUUUAAACUACGUAAAUUCAGGUCGAAUUCACCAAGUAUUUUGUCAUCAUCGGUCAUUGAUCAAAAUGUCAAGGUCAGUUUAAGUGAAUCCACUAAUACCUUAGGAUUAAAUUGGAAUCCUAAAACCGAUACUCUUCAAAUAUCAAUUGUAAUUCCCAACAAAAGUGAUGUAGUUACCAAGCGUUCUAUACUGUCUACAUCUUUCAAGAUUUUUGAUCCCCUUGGUAUUCUCAGUCCAUGCGUGAUUAUACCUAAAAUGUUGCUUCAGUCCUUAUGGCUCAAUAAAAAUGGCUGGGAUGAACCGGUUAGCUCCGAUAUUUUGAAAUCUUGGAACAAGUUUAUUAACAAUCUAAAUGUUUUAUCAGAUCUACAGAUCCCGCGAUCAACUCUAUGCGAAGCUCCUAGUUAUAUAGAAAUACAUACCUUUAGUGAUGCUUCUCAAGUCGCUUACGGUGCAUGUGUGUACCUGCGGUCACACAACUUAGCUGGUGAUGUAAAGGUUAACUUACUGUGUGCUAAGUCUAAGGUGGCGCCGUUGAAGCCGACGACAAUACCGCGUCUGGAGCUUUGUGCUGCUCUGUUAGCUGCAAAAUUGUGCAAGACAGUUACCAGUUCUCUGCGAUGUGAGGUCAAUCGUAUCAUUUAUUGGUGCGAUUCUAGCGUUGUCCUCAGCUGGUUGAAUGGUAAUUCUGCAAAGUUAAAAACAUUUGUAGCGAAUAGGGUUGCCGAGAUCAAUGAACUUACCGAUAGUUCGUCGUGGCGCUAUGUGCCGACUGAUCAGAAUCCGGCUGACCUGAUCUCAAGAGGCGUAAGUCCAGAUCAAAUUACCAACCUUAAUUUAUGGUGGUCAGGUCCAAAUUUUCUAAUACAGCCUGAAUGUGAUUGGCCCUAUUUAAAUAAAUUAAUGAAUGAAACAGACUUACCUGAGAUGAAAUCCACUUCCGCUGUGGUCCAGGAACCUGUAACAGAAAUUCUAAAAAUAGAUAAAUUUUCAUCGUUUUUAAAAUUAAGACGCAUGUUUGCGUAUGUAAACAGAUAUAUACAUAAUAUUAGACACAAAAAUCCUAAAGAUAAAUUAUUUGGUAAAUUUAGUGUUACCGAAUUAGAAUCAUCCUUUAUUAGCCUAUGUAAAAUUGCUCAGAAAACUUCAUUUGCUCUAGAAUACAAUAUUUUAUUAAAAAAUAAAGGUUUAAGUAGCAAAUCGCCUCUCUUGUCACUUUCACCCUUUUUGGAUGAUGACAAGGUGAUGAGAGUCGGUGGUAGAAUAGAAUUAUCAAAUUAUAAUUAUACUAAAAAACAUCCUAUACUUCUACACGCCUCUCAUCCACUCACCAAACUAUAUUUCAAACAUGAACACUUACGGAAUAUGCAUGCCGGGCCUCAACUAUUGCUGGCCUGUGUAAGAGAAACUGUGUGGCCUAUAAACGGUAGGCACUUGGCCCGCCGCACAGUUCAUGCCUGUGUCAGAUGUAGACGUAUUCAAGGUAAAACAUUAACUCCCAUGAUGGGAAACUUACCUGCACAGCGCAUCACACCUGAUUUUCCAUUUCGUACUGUUGGUGUUGACUUCGCUGGUCCAUUCCUCACACUAAACAGAAAAGGUCGAGGUGCACGAUUAACUAAAACCUACUUAUGUUUGUUUGUAUGUUUUCGCUAUAAAUGUGUGCACUUGGAAGCCGUCAGUGAUUUGUCUAAAGACGCUUUUAUUAUGACAUUACGCAGAUUCAUAUCGCGACGGGGCAAGCCAGCGGAGAUAUUUUGCGAUAACGGCCGCAACUUUGUUGCAGCCGCUAAGGAAAUAGGCAAUUUUCUUAAAACCAAUCAUGGACCUGUAGUUGAUUUUGUUACCAAUGAAGGUGUGAGGUUUGUGUUCUCUCCCACAUAUGCUCCACAUUUCGGCGGCAUCUGGGAGGCAGGCGUUAAAUCCGCGAAAUACCAUUUAAAACGCGUUAUGGGAAACAAUCAUUUAACGUUCGAGGAGAUAUGUACUCUUUUCACACAAGUGGAAGCUGUGCUUAAUAGUAGACCUUUAUGCCCACUCUCUCCUUCCCCUAACGAUUACCACUUCCUAACUCCUGGUCACUUUCUGAUAGGGCGUGCCUUAAAUGCAUUGCCUGGUCCAUCGCUCGAGCACGAGAACCAGAACAAUCUUCAACGCUACAUGAAGCUUGAACAAAUACAUCAACAUUUUUGGCAGCGCUGGCAAAAGGAAUAUGUAGCAGAGCUACAGCAGCGCUCAAAAUGGCGUACGAAAUCAGCAUCACUAAAAGUCGGCGACUUAGUUCUUCUCCAUGAGGAUAAUGUCCCACCACUCAGUUGGCGAAUGGGACGAGUCAGCAGGCUGUUCCCGGGGACCGACGGAGUCACGCGAGUCGCAGACGUGCAAACUACCAGAGGUUGCUUCAGGAGACCUCUCACUCGGAUCUGUCCCUUGCCUACAUCGCCACCGGAGGAAGACUGAAGUGGUUGAAAGGAGUCUUUCAACGGGGGGGAAGAUGUCUGCGCCGUACCUACGCCUAAUGGGUUCUAAUAGCAACAAGUUGCACGUUCAAAUAGUCUUCUUCGUAGGAGGAUGGAUAUUCUUCGUGAAGCAAUUAUUCAGAGACUAUGAAGUGCAUCACCUGCUGGUGCAGCUUAUAUUCUCUGUCACCUUCGCACUAAGUUGUACCAUGUUCGAGCUAAUCAUAUUUGAA